Molecule: ribosomal RNA, 2807 nt
Filed under: Bacillus subtilis subsp. subtilis
Lineage: Bacteria; Bacillati; Bacillota; Bacilli; Caryophanales; Bacillaceae
Description: bacterial LSU rRNA
Rfam family: Bacterial large subunit ribosomal RNA
Source: RNAcentral
CGGUUAAGUUAGAAAGGGCGCACGGUGGAUGCCUUGGCACUAGGAGCCGAUGAAGGACGGGACGAACACCGAUAUGCUUCGGGGAGCUGUAAGCAAGCUUUGAUCCGGAGAUUUCCGAAUGGGGAAACCCACCACUCGUAAUGGAGUGGUAUCCAUAUCUGAAUUCAUAGGAUAUGAGAAGGCAGACCCGGGGAACUGAAACAUCUAAGUACCCGGAGGAAGAGAAAGCAAAUGCGAUUCCCUGAGUAGCGGCGAGCGAAACGGGAUUAGCCCAAACCGGUUGUAGGACACUCUGUACGGAGUUACAAAGGAACGAGGUAGAUGAAGAGGUCUGGAAAGGCCCGCCAUAGGAGGUAACAGUGUAGUCAAAACUUCGUUCUCUCCUGAGUGGAUCCUGAGUACGGCGGAACACGUGAAAUUCCGUCGGAAUCCGGGAGGACCAUCUCCCAAGGCUAAAUACUCCCUAGUGACCGAUAGUGAACCAGUACCGUGAGGGAAAGGUGAAAAGCACCCCGGAAGGGGAGUGAAAGAGAUCCUGAAACCGUGUGCCUACAAGUAGUCAGAGCCCGUUAACGGGUGAUGGCGUGCCUUUUGUAGAAUGAACCGGCGAGUUACGAUCUCGUGCAAGGUUAAGCAGAAGAUGCGGAGCCGCAGCGAAAGCGAGUCUGAAUAGGGCGCAUGAGUACGUGGUCGUAGACCCGAAACCAGGUGAUCUACCCAUGUCCAGGGUGAAGUUCAGGUAACACUGAAUGGAGGCCCGAACCCACGCACGUUGAAAAGUGCGGGGAUGAGGUGUGGGUAGGGGUGAAAUAGCUUUAGGGCUAGCCUCAAGGUAAGAGUCUUGGAGGUAGAGCACUGAUUGGACUAGGGGCCCCUACCGGGUUACCGAAUUCAGUCAAACUCCGAAUGCCAAUGACUUAUCCUUGGGAGUCAGACUGCGAGUGAUAAGAUCCGUAGUCGAAAGGGAAACAGCCCAGACCGCCAGCUAAGGUCCCAAAGUAUACGUUAAGUGGAAAAGGAUGUGGAGUUGCUUAGACAACCAGGAUGUUGGCUUAGAAGCAGCCACCAUUUAAAGAGUGCGUAAUAGCUCACUGGUCGAGUGACUCUGCGCCGAAAAUGUACCGGGGCUAAACGUAUCACCGAAGCUGCGGACUGUUCUUCGAACAGUGGUAGGAGAGCGUUCUAAGGGCUGUGAAGCCAGACCGGAAGGACUGGUGGAGCGCUUAGAAGUGAGAAUGCCGGUAUGAGUAGCGAAAGAGGGGUGAGAAUCCCCUCCACCGAAUGCCUAAGGUUUCCUGAGGAAGGCUCGUCCGCUCAGGGUUAGUCGGGACCUAAGCCGAGGCCGAAAGGCGUAGGCGAUGGACAACAGGUUGAUAUUCCUGUACCACCUCCUCACCAUUUGAGCAAUGGGGGGACGCAGGAGGAUAGGGUAAGCGCGGUAUUGGAUAUCCGCGUCCAAGCAGUUAGGCUGGGAAAUAGGCAAAUCCGUUUCCCAUAAGGCUGAGCUGUGAUGGCGAGCGAAAUAUAGUAGCGAAGUUCCUGAUUCCACACUGCCAAGAAAAGCCUCUAGCGAGGUGAGAGGUGCCCGUACCGCAAACCGACACAGGUAGGCGAGGAGAGAAUCCUAAGGUGAUCGAGAGAACUCUCGUUAAGGAACUCGGCAAAAUGACCCCGUAACUUCGGGAGAAGGGGUGCUCUGUUAGGGUGCAAGCCCGAGAGAGCCGCAGUGAAUAGGCCCAGGCGACUGUUUAGCAAAAACACAGGUCUCUGCGAAGCCGUAAGGCGAAGUAUAGGGGCUGACGCCUGCCCGGUGCUGGAAGGUUAAGAGGAGCGCUUAGCGUAAGCGAAGGUGCGAAUUGAAGCCCCAGUAAACGGCGGCCGUAACUAUAACGGUCCUAAGGUAGCGAAAUUCCUUGUCGGGUAAGUUCCGACCCGCACGAAAGGCGCAACGAUCUGGGCACUGUCUCAACGAGAGACUCGGUGAAAUUAUAGUACCUGUGAAGAUGCAGGUUACCCGCGACAGGACGGAAAGACCCCGUGGAGCUUUACUGCAGCCUGAUAUUGAAUGUUGGUACAGCUUGUACAGGAUAGGUAGGAGCCUUGGAAACCGGAGCGCCAGCUUCGGUGGAGGCAUCGGUGGGAUACUACCCUGGCUGUAUUGACCUUCUAACCCGCCGCCCUUGGCGCCCAAAGGUUCCCUCAGAAUGGUUGGAAAUCAUUCGCAGAGUGUAAAGGCACAAGGGAGCUUGACUGCGAGACCUACAAGUCGAGCAGGGACGAAAGUCGGGCUUAGUGAUCCGGUGGUUCCGCAUGGAAGGGCCAUCGCUCAACGGAUAAAAGCUACCCCGGGGAUAACAGGCUUAUCUCCCCCAAGAGUCCACAUCGACGGGGAGGUUUGGCACCUCGAUGUCGGCUCAUCGCAUCCUGGGGCUGUAGUCGGUCCCAAGGGUUGGGCUGUUCGCCCAUUAAAGCGGUACGCGAGCUGGGUUCAGAACGUCGUGAGACAGUUCGGUCCCUAUCCGUCGCGGGCGCAGGAAAUUUGAGAGGAGCUGUCCUUAGUACGAGAGGACCGGGAUGGACGCACCGCUGGUGUACCAGUUGUUCUGCCAAGGGCAUCGCUGGGUAGCUAUGUGCGGACGGGAUAAGUGCUGAAAGCAUCUAAGCAUGAAGCCCCCCUCAAGAUGAGAUUUCCCAUUCCGCAAGGAAGUAAGAUCCCUGAAAGAUGAUCAGGUUGAUAGGUCUGAGGUGGAAGUGUGGCGACACAUGGAGCUGACAGAUACUAAUCGAUCGAGGACUUAACCAUAUUU